Triticum urartu is the source of this 1228-nucleotide non-coding RNA. NCBI's taxonomy places the organism in Eukaryota, Viridiplantae, Streptophyta, Magnoliopsida, Poales, Poaceae. The record is from RefSeq and is a predicted model, not a curated record.
CAUUCUACUUCUGCAGGCGCCAGUUAUGCUAAUCGGCGCAGAAGGCGCCGACUAGGAGCACCCGUCGUUUCGUUCGGACAACUUCCACAACUCCCACGACCCUGUGUCACGACUGAUGACCGAUGCCGGAGGGAGGAUCCAUGGGGACCGCGCCUAGGUUCAGGGCGGGUCUGCCUCACAUGGGGCCGAGGCGCCCGACGAGGUUGUCUUCUGGCAAUUCCACGAUGUCGUGCCCGAGCCAGCGGAUCAUCCGCUGUCGAUUUAACUCUGUCGAUUCAGUAAUUGAAUCACGAUUACAGGAGGCCAUUAAUGGCAAUGGAUGUGAGAGGCCGGCGGAUAAUUGCAGGUUCUCUGAUCUCGAUCGAUUGGAUCUCGGUUUCACGGUUGGCUGAUUCUGCUGCAUUGAAAGGCGAGGCACUGCUUUCACCAUAAUGAUUUCUUGCAUGAGAAUAAUACAUGCUUAAACGCAGCAUCUUCCAAUUGUUCAAAGUGCUAAUAGUUACAACCUGAGAUUACUUGCUCGGGUCCUUCUUUCACAAAGUACAGAGAUGACUUCAGAGUAACCAUGUUCUUUUCAGCUUUUCUAUUCUACAUAAACAACUUGAGGAUGGUAUGGAUCAGGGUCUUCUGUUUGAAGCUUUUCUGUUCUAAAUAAACGACAUGAGGACGGUGAGGAUCAAUUCAUAUUUGUCCUGCUUUUGAAGUCCCUCUGUAUUGGGGAAUGCCUUGCUUUCUAGGAAUGCAAAGGUGAAGGUACGAUACUUUUUCUUAAUUCUUAUUUGGUGACUGUAUUUUGAUUGCUUGUAGCGAGUGAUUUUCAAUAUUUAAUUACUCAUCAGAACUGAAGUAUAAGCCCAGCGUUACUGAAAAAGGGUUUCCCCCUGCUUUGUAUUCCAAAGCAACCAACACCGAGUACAGGUAACGCUGUGGCGAGCAGCACAACACACCAAGAGAAAAAGAAGAAGAAACAAAUGCCAACGACGGCAGCUUGGCAAAGCGCGGAUGACCCGCCACCGCGGCGCCCACCGGAAACAAAACACCACAUACCGAGGCUCCGAUCCGCCGCGUACCAAGCAGCACCUCCAAGAAGGGAUGCGACGCCGACGACGCUGCUGCCCAGACGAGUCCUCAGGUUUCCCCGGGCACGCGGAGGGAGGUGGGGUGGAUACCACCGAAACCCUCCAGGGAGGAAUGGUGGCACUCGCAGGUGUCACCGCGUCGGGGCCGA